This 482-nucleotide ribosomal RNA is filed under the name uncultured bacterium. Its description in RNAcentral is "partial 16S ribosomal RNA". It matches the Rfam family "Bacterial small subunit ribosomal RNA", at positions 28 to 523 of the family's 1533-position model. The record is from RNAcentral.
AGUGAACGUUGGCGGCGUGGAUUAGGCAUGCAAGUCGAGCGAGAACCGUAGCAAUACGGGGACAGCGGCGAAAGGGACAGUAAUGUGUAGGUACCUACCUCCGGGUUCGGGAUAGCUGCGGGAAACUGCAGGUAAUACCGAAUAACGUCUCCGGACCAAAGGUGUGAUUCCACCUGGAGAGGGGCCUGCAUCCUAUUAGCUUGUUGGCGGGGUAACGGCCCACCAAGGCGACGAUGGGUGGCGGGUGUGAGAGCACGACCCGCGUCAUUGGGGUUGAGACACUGUCCAGACACCUACGGGUAGCUGCAGUCGUGAAUCUUCGGCAAUGGGCGCAAGCCUGACGGAGCGACGCCGCGUGCGGGAUGAAGGCCUUCGGGUUGUAAACCGCUGUCGUAGAGGAGGAAAUGCAGGGGGGUUCUCCCCUCUGUUUGACCUAUUCUAGGAGGAAGUACGGGCUAAGUUCUUGCCAGCAGCCGCCGUAA